Molecule: long non-coding RNA, 4095 nt
Organism: Oreochromis niloticus (Nile tilapia)
Lineage: Eukaryota; Metazoa; Chordata; Actinopteri; Cichliformes; Cichlidae
Exons: 3
Source: RefSeq, a predicted model, not a curated record
AGAAUGUGCAAGUUAAUAAUUUUCUCCCACAAAUCAUGACACAGUACUUUCCCAUACAUAAACCUCCUUUAUACUAUCCUGUGUACUGGCCCUGUACUCGGUAUCAGGCUGAGAGCACUAUUGUCUCUGUUUCAGUCAUUUCCUCUUUACUUUGUGUGUUCUAGCUUGUUUUACUUCCUGUCUGUCUUUUGUCCCCCUGUUGCCGUCAGCCUCUUUUUCCUCGUCUUUCGGAUUUGUCGUGUUUCUGGAUUUUUAUUGACACUAACCUCCAUUUGGAAGACGAACAACAAUGUCACAGUUUAAUGAAGACUUUCAGGUGAACAACAGGUGAGCAUUGGCAGCAGUUGAAAGGAGUCCUCCACACGACCACGUCCAGCUACGGCUGUGUGGUUGCGGGCUCGGGUGAGUGGCUGUUGGUUCCACAGGUGUUAACAUGGCGAGUCUUCUUCAUGUUUCUGUGAAGGUGCCUCGCCUGUAUUUCAUGUCCAGUCUGGUCUCUGUGUUCGUGCACCUCCGGACCAUCUGUCAGUCAUGUCUCCUUGUCUCGUGUUUCCUGUUUUACUUUGACAGUCUCGCGUCCUGUGUCAGUGUAUUCGGUUUGGCUUCCUCCCCGUCUCGUUGUGUUUGAUCUCUCCCAGCUGUGUUCCCUGCGUGAUCCUCCUUCCUCUGUGUAUUUAAGCCCUGUGUUUUCCUCCCACGUGUCCCUUGUCGUCCACGCUCCUAGUUUGGUUUCCCAGUGUCUUAGUUCCUCAUUCGUGGUUUCUAGUUUCCUGUUUUUGUGUUUAGUAUUCUUGCUACAGCACAAUAAAGCCUCCUCUUUUAGUUUAGCCGUUUGAGUUUGUGAGUCCGGCCUCUGGGUCCUCUUCCUGCCUGCCACAGCACGUUACAUGACAGUUUCACAAACACGGGUGCAGAUUAUAAACUGAAGCAGAACAUCAGUUUGAUGCUGGAUUAAACAUCACCGCACAAACUUAUGUUCACUGUUCAAACAGCGUGGAUUACCAAGAUUUGCAGGAGGAGACUGAUUGAUUACGAGCGCUGAAUAAUCUUCAGAUUAAGCUCUGGCCGGCGUCACCGCUGAUCAGAGGUCAGCUGUGAAGCUCUUGGGCUUACUGACAUCACUGCGAGUCCAGGAAGUGUGUUCAGUUGCAUCAAGAACAUUUCUCAGAAGAGGCGGUGCCGGUGUCCGUGGCAGUGUGCUGGGGCUCCUCCCAGCUCGACAUGAAGCUCCUCCCCUACGUUGCAUUCCUGACUAAAGCUGCCUCAGCUCUUUGGUCCAGCACGUUCAGGUUUCCUCCUCGCAGUGCUUCAGCCUGGCUAACUUCACCAUCCUGCUGCCUCCUGCAGACAGAAUUACGGCAUGCUCUCAGCCCCAGGCCUCAGGUGGUGCGGUCGUAGGCCACGCCUCCACGUGCUGUCUUCAGAGGUUCAGCUGUUUUUGUUCCUCAGAAUGGAGCGCUCUGUUUACAGUUAGAAAGCAUUGUUAUCAGAUUGUUUCUUUGUUGGUUUAUUUCUUUACGAUGAAGCGAGAACAGACGCUCACGUGUCAGCACGUUGUGAGCGCCGCCGACACCACAGAGUAGAAAACAGUCAGCUUUGACCUCUGACCUCUCCAUCACACCGGCUGAUAAGCAUGAUGCAAAAGUAAAAUUUGAUGACUGCUCUGCAGGGCUGUGCCUCUCACAGUCUGCGUUUAGCUGCUGUUGAUGCAGAGGUCAGAGGUCAGGCCGGUGUGUGGACGUGACGGUAGCCUGACGAAUGGAUGCUCCUGCUGCUCCUUUAUGUGGGCGUGUCCACACUCUCAGGGGAAAUCCGCCUCCUCCUUUCACUCAGAGGGGCUUGGCGCCAAAAUAAUCAACGAACCCGCCCACCGCUGUCACGAGCAGAAGUCAUGAAAGUUUGGUUUAACGUGGUGAAGACGGAGAAACCACCUGCUACACGGAUAUCCCAGCACGAGCCGCUCUGCUGCACUUCCUGAAGCUCCUCCCCAUUUGUUUCCUCCGUAAACGUUCAGGUCUGCUACAAGUCAUCGAUAUUUAAAAGCUCUGAUAAGAAACGUUUGCAGCGCUGCACAUCUAUCAGAACAAACUCAGAUUUAAGUUCACGUUUCACAGAAGCGCUGUCCGUCUUUUAUAUACAGUCUGUGUCUGAGCUGGUUCAGGACGCACUGAUCCACAGAGAUCCACUGAGUCAGAGCGGGCGCUGCUGCAGCACACUGAGGGCCGCCGCAUGAACGCUCGGCCGUGUUUGCAGUUUUGUUAUCAGUGAGAUAACAAAGAGCGCCCUCAGAUUAAAGAAGAUAACGAGCCGUGUCGCCUCUGCUCGAUGUUGGUAUCAUCUUGUUUGUGAGCGGCGGGACGAGAUGGGCGUCUCCUGAUGAACCGUCUGAGCUCUGUUUUCAUCUUCCUGCAAAUCUGAGCGGCCGAUUAAAGCGGCAGAGAAGAAGAACAUCAGAUUUUUAUUCAACCGUCUCAGAUUUCAAACGUGAUGUUUCAGCAAAUAAAACCAUUUAACCUCAAAAUAAAAUGAUGAACAAAACAUAAACAUUAAAACAACAACAAAGGUUAAAGGUUAAAACCAGAUUUAAACACUAAGACAGAAAAAAAUAAUUACACUGGAGGUGUAAAAGCAAAUAACCAGAAGUAUUUAAAAAUACAUAUAUAUCAUAAAACUGUAAAAAAAAAAAUCCAAUAAAAAGCAAAACGCUAAAGGAUAAAAAAUUAUUAAAUAUAACUGAAUGAAUAAAAUAAAAAAACAACGCAAAAACUAAUAAAUUCUAAUUUGGUGAAGUUUUGUAAAAAUCAAACACAUGUCAGCUCAAAUACAGUGAAGACAGACGCAGAUAAACUCUCUGAUGUCUGUGAACGUUUCGUGGGCUCUGCAGGCCGCCGCGGUGCGUUCAGGCUCUCCCCGUUUCCUCUUGGACACAGAUGUGCACAGAUGUUUCAGCUCUCGUCAGUAAUGAGCUGCAGACGUUCAGCUGAGGUUGAGUAAUUCCACCACUCAUCCAGUCAGCUUCCUCCUCCUCUUCUUGGCGUGCACCUGAAGGUUCACCUGUGGAGCUGCAGGACUUACCUGUGCAGGUAUGCAGAUGCUCUGCUCCAGCACGCCUUUCGUGUUUCUCUAGUUUCUUGUUUGACUUUUUAAAAAUGAUUUCUGGGCGAUAACAGCUACAUCACACUGACGAUCAAUAAGGUUUUAUUGGUAAAUGAGCUCAGAGUAAAGCAGCAGGUGUGCUGACCUUUGACCUCCAGCUGACUGAUCAGGAAUGACUUUGACUUUGUUUGGCGCUCGAAUGUCGGUGACUCGGGCGUCCCGGUGAAGUGAGAGCGAUGAGCUUCUUUGCUCUAAUUUAACACGAGCACAUUAACGAGCGCAUGAACGCGUCGGAUGAUUUAAUCUGUAAUCUGCUCAAACUGUGACGCCCACAAUAAAAAAGAGAAGCAGGAGAACAGAGAGGAUUUAAAAACAGCCCAAAUUUGCUUUAAUUAUCUCUGAUAAGCAGAUUCCUCUAAUUGCUUUUAAAACCAGUUGACCAUUUUUACCUUCUUACACACACACACACACACACACACACGCACCCACACACGCACACUGCCUGCAAGCCUGCAGUCAAUCCUGAGGGAUUAACCGCCAACUUGGCCCUAAUUUCCAGCCUGACUUUCAUCAGCAGGAGCUUCAUUUUCUGCCCAAAGAGACAAACAGCUGAUUUUCUCUGUUUAUCCUCAUCAGCUCCACCCGCUCCACCCACAGAUCAUCGUCUUUAUUGUCUUUAUUUUCACUUUUAUUCCAUUCUUCUAGCUGCUUUGUCUGCAGACGUCACUUUUGACUGAACCUGCAAAAUAAUGACAAUAAAUUAAAUAUAAAACAUGAACAUGAAGUGUGUGGAAGUUCAAAACCUCAGAAAGGAAAAUGAAUAAAUCAAUGUUUAAAAAAAGAAAUGAAAUAAAAUGGCACCAAAUCCAGGAAAUAAAUCCAACGGAUAAAGUAGGAACUGAGCAUUUGAUUCUUUACUCACUUCCUUGAUUUAAUAGUUUUUUUGCUGAGUUUUGAUUUUUCUGUCUGUAAAUAAAAUUCAUCGAUCAUUAAAACUGA